RNAcentral lists this ribosomal RNA (468 nucleotides) under uncultured bacterium. RNAcentral describes it as "partial 16S ribosomal RNA". It matches the Rfam family "Bacterial small subunit ribosomal RNA", at positions 28 to 507 of the family's 1533-position model. The record is from RNAcentral.
GACGAACGCUGGCGGCGUGCUUAACACAUGCAAGUCGAACGGAAAGGCCCUGCUUUUGUGGGGUGCUCGAGUGGCGAACGGGUGAGUAACACGUGAGUAACCUGCCCUUGGCUUUGGGAUAACUUCAGGAAACUGGGGCUAAUACCGGAUAGGAGCUCCUGCUGCAUGGUGGGGGUUGGAAAGUUUCGGCGGUUGGGGAUGGACUCGCGGCUUAUCAGCUUGUGGGUGGGGUAGUGGCUUACCAAGGCUUUGACGGGUAGCCGGCCUGAGAGGGUGACCGGCCACAUUGGGACUGAGAUACGGCCCAGACUCCUACGGGAGGCAGCAGUGGGGAAUAUUGCACAAUGGGCGGAAGCCUGAUGCAGCAACGCCGCGUGCGGGAUGACGGCCUUCGGGUUGUAAACCGCUUUCGCCUGUGACGAAGCGUGAGUGACGGUAAUGGGUAAAGAAGCACCGGCUAACUACGUG